RNAcentral lists this transfer RNA (73 nucleotides) under Escherichia coli. RNAcentral's name for it is "tRNA-Asn". It matches the Rfam family "tRNA". From Rfam's summary of the family: Transfer RNA (tRNA) molecules are approximately 80 nucleotides in length. Their secondary structure includes four short double-helical elements and three loops (D, anti-codon, and T loops). RNAcentral also lists the same sequence under 3 other names. The record is from RNAcentral. Lineage: Bacteria; Pseudomonadati; Pseudomonadota; Gammaproteobacteria; Enterobacterales; Enterobacteriaceae.
UCCUCUGUAGUUCAGUCGGUAGAACGGCGGACUGUUAAUCCGUAUGUCACUGGUUCGAGUCCAGUCAGAGGAU